RNAcentral lists this ribosomal RNA (2365 nucleotides) under Armadillidium sp. JM-2004. RNAcentral describes it as "eukaryotic LSU rRNA". It matches the Rfam family "Eukaryotic large subunit ribosomal RNA", at positions 1 to 1600 of the family's 3401-position model. The record is from RNAcentral. Lineage: Eukaryota; Metazoa; Arthropoda; Malacostraca; Isopoda; Armadillidiidae.
GCCGACCUUGUUUCAAGGGAGAGUACCCGCAGAACUUAAGCAUAUCAAUAAGCGGAGGAAAAGAAACCAAAAGGGAUUCCCCGAGUAAGGGCGACUGAAAAGGGAGGAGCCCAGCGCGUAGCCUGCAGGCACGCCCCACUAGAUGGGUCACGGGCCUGCGAGGGAUGCCGCGUAUGGGAGGAAUCGUGGGGGAGCUCGCGCGACCUGAAGUAUUUAUUGAAUGUUGUCUCAUUGCCCAUAGAGGGUGUAAGGCCCGUAAGGUCGUCGCGUCGCGUCCCUCGCCGGUUCCUCUCGAGAGUCGGGUUGCUUGAAAAUGCAGCCCUAAGUAGGUGGUAAACUCCAUCUAAGGCUAAAUAUUCCCACGAGACCGAUAGCGUACAAGUACCGCGAGGGAAAGUUGAAAAGAACUUUGAAGAGAGAGUUCAAAAGAGCGUGAAACUACCACGAGGUUAAAGCGAGUGAGCGUUCGUAUCCGAACGGCUGGUAUUCAACCUGCCCCGGACGUUGGCGGCGGAGGGUCGCAAAGCGUACUGAACGGAUCUCCCUUGAGGCCGCGGACUUCGUGUCCCGGUCUCUCGAGGCGACCGGCGUUUCCUCCGUGCGCGCGGAAGGGGGGUGCUCUUCUGGCCGAAGUAGGGCGUCGCGGCCGUUCGAGAGGUGUCGAUGACACGAGGGUCAGGGAAACCGCUUCUUUCAGUUUCGGAUCGGCGUCGUUGUCGUCUAUCAAGGCGGCGGCGGUAGCGCCCCCGUUUCGCGGGAUUAGCGGGGCCGCCUCGUUCCAGUCUGACGGCCUUUCGGACGGUGAAAUCAUGACAAAAUCGCGCCUGUGACGGGGUCGGCGUCCUCUCCCUCUUCUCCUACGGAGAAGAGGCGAAGGCGCCCCCGCUUAAACGUCCCGAGCGCGAUACGCGGCGUAGGUUUACUGCGACAGCUUACUCGUCCCGUCUUGAAACACGGACCAAGAAGUCUAGAAUAUGCGCGAGUCAAAGGGUUGGCUAAACCCCAAGGCGAAACGAAAGUGAAAACGAUUUUUUCUUCAUAGGGCCGAUCCGGUUCGGGGUGCGUUAGCGGGGAGUCUUUAUCCCCCUCCGUAGUCGUUCCCCUUCUUCUUCGGCAUCCUUCUCGCUGCUGCUGCUGCGCGCGUGUUUCGCACGCGCGCUAGCAAGCGGGCGGGAAGGCGUGUCGUCGUCGUAGGGGCGCUGCGGGGGGUGGCUCCUUCGCUUUCCCCUCGAUUCGUCUCCCAUAAAGUAUGAGGACGGCGCAGGCUCGGGGCUCGCAGGCGACCUCCCUGCCGUUAAGGCUCAACCGUUCGCAUCCUUCGUUCGGGCGCUCGCAUCAUCGGUUGGAUCGUCGACGCUCCGUCGUCGUCGGCGCUUCGGCGUCGGCGUCGGCGGGGCUUAGGCCCCAGCCGUAACGUAAAAGCGCCUCGUUCGAGGUCGUCGGUUCGCUGGCGAGGGACGAGCGGCGGGUUCUUUGAGCGCAUAUUUUAGUACCCGAAAGAUGGUGAUCUAUGCUUGGCCAGGAUGAAGCCAGAGGAAACUCUGGUGGAGGUCCGUAGCGAUUCUGACGUGCAAAUCGAUCGUCGGAGCUGUGCAUAGGGGCGAAAGACCUAUCGAACCAUCUAGUAGCUGGUUCCCUCCGAAGUUUCCCUCAGGAUAGCUUGUGCUCAUUAGCAAAUAAAGGAGUUUCAUCCGGUAAAGAGAAUGAUUAGGGGUCCUUGGGGAUGAAAUUUCCUCAGCCCAUUCUCAAACUCUAAAUGGGUGAAAUAGCGUGCUUUCUUCACUGAAGCGUUGUUGUCUAUAGAAUCCGAGUACCAAGUGGGCCAUUUUUGGUAAGCAGAACUGGCGCUGUGGGAUGAACCAAAAGUCGAGUUAAGGGGCCUAAGUAUCGGCUCAUUCAGAACCCUUGAAAGGCGUUGGUCGCUCAUGACAGCAGGUCGGUGGCCAUGGAAGUCGGCAUCCGCCAAGGAGUGUGUAACAACUCACCUGCCGAAGCGACUAGCCCUGAAAAUGGAUGGCGCUAAAGCCGAUCCCCGAUACUCGACCGUCGGGGCAGUACCGGCCCUCACUCCCCUUAAACAAGGGAGACCGAAUCUUACCUACUCUGUCCCUGAGAAGGUUCGGAUAGGGUCUCGAAGCCUCGACGAGUAGGAGGGCGCGGGGGUGAGCGCGGAAGGUCAGGGCGUGAGCCCGACUGGAGCCGCCUCCGGUGCAGAUCUUGGUGGUAGUAGCAAGCACUCAACUGAGAGCACUGAGGGCCGUGCGGAGAAGGGUUCCUCGUCAACUGCGUUUGAACGAGGGUUAGUCGAUCCUAAGUCCCCGGCUAACGCCUUUUCGAGGGCGUGGCGUCACGGGUCUCGCGAAAU